ACGAACGCUGGCGGCGUGCUUAACACAUGCAAGUCGAACGGAAAGGCCCUGCUUUUGUGGGGUGCUCGAGUGGCGAACGGGUGAGUAACACGUGAGUAACCUGCCCUUGACUUUGGGUUAACUUCAGGAAACUGGGGCUAAUACCGGAAAGGAGCUCCUGCUGCAGGGUGGGGGUUGGAAAGUUUCGGCGGUUGGGGAUGGACUGGCGGCUUAUCAGCUUGUUGGUGGGGUAGUGGCUUACCAAGGCUUUGACGGGUAGCCGGCCUGGGAGGGUGACCGGCCACAUUGGGACUGAGAUACGGCCCAGACUCCUACGGGAGGCAGCAGUGGGGAAUAUUGCACAAUGGGCGGAAGCCUGAUGCAGCAACGCCGCGUGCGGGAUGACGGCCUUCGGGUUGUAAACCGCUUUCGCCUGUGACGAAGCGUGAGUGACGGUAAUGGGUAAAGAAGCACCGGCUAACUACGUG
RNAcentral lists this ribosomal RNA (467 nucleotides) under uncultured bacterium. RNAcentral's name for it is "partial 16S ribosomal RNA". It matches the Rfam family "Bacterial small subunit ribosomal RNA", at positions 29 to 507 of the family's 1533-position model. The record is from RNAcentral.